Molecule: non-coding RNA, 274 nt
Organism: Otolemur garnettii (small-eared galago)
Lineage: Eukaryota; Metazoa; Chordata; Mammalia; Primates; Galagidae
Source: Rfam
GCCAGGUGCAUGGGCAUGCGCCUGUAGUCCAAGCUUCUAGGGAGGCUGAGGGGGACCAUUGCUUGAGUUCUGGGCUGUAGUGUGGUCUGCACUAAGUUUGGCAUCAGUAUGGGGAUUUCCUGGGAACAGGGGCCUACUGGGUUGCCUCAGGAGGUGUCAGCCAGCCCAGGUCGGAAAUAGAGCAGAUUAAAACCCCAUGCUGGCCAGUAGUGGGAUUGCACCUGUAAAUAUCCACUGCAUUCCAGUGUGGGCAACUUAGUGAGACCCCCAUCUU